GCGCGCACGCGCUCUCACGCUGAAGCAAGAAGGCCCGGCACCCUUUCCCAUUCAGCAUCGGCGAUUGGCCCCGCCCUUUAAUAGGCCCCGCCCCUCUGUCUGGGCGCUCCUUUCCGCUGGGACCUUGGGGCACUCCACUGGUCCCCUCAGGCCCCAGAUCGGGUAAAUUAGGAGGAGAACAGAUGGCGACGCAGACGGUGUGUUUGAAGGCGCCCCGGGAGGACUUCUUGGAAGAGGAGGCAAUGGAAGCCUCUGCAGUACCAUGUGUGGCAGGGGAAGCACGUGAAACCUACUUGAGACACUCCCAGUGUAGAUUAUGUGUGACCCUCUGGAACCCAGUGUCAACUACAGUGUGACAGUCAUGGUGAUACCACUGAUGAUCCUGGGAGUGUGUCCUUGGCUCUGUGCUUGACAUUCAAGACACCAGCUCCUGAAGAGGGAGCCCCCAGCCCCUCCAGCCCCUCCACCCUCAGCCGCAGUGACUGAGCACAUUAGCCCGUCCAGGAGCACGCGGCAUGGGAGUGGGGGGAGGCCAGGCUGCGGCUAUUGUUCUGAGGGUGCCAAGCCCCCACCCUCCCCUUCUUUCCCAACACCCACCAGGCUGGCAAAGCCCGUAGCACCAGUAGACAAAGGCUCUGCAACCCCCACCCGGCCAACCCCUCCCCCUGCGGCCAUCUAUCCAGUUUGCAGUCCCCCUGCUCCCGACCCGCACCGCCCAAAUUGAAUCCCAUCCCGGCGGGAAGGCGAAGCGCGGACACCUCUGGCGCAGCUGGACAGGGAGCUGCAUCCCGGGCCCCGCCCUGCUGCAGCAGCCUAAUGGGCGGCUUUACGCUGAGGGCCGGGACAAGGUCUGGGGGUUCGGGGGUCUACCUCUUGG
Ictidomys tridecemlineatus (thirteen-lined ground squirrel) is the source of this 877-nucleotide long non-coding RNA. RefSeq lists it as uncharacterized. Lineage: Eukaryota; Metazoa; Chordata; Mammalia; Rodentia; Sciuridae. The record is from RefSeq and is a predicted model, not a curated record.